CAGGAGGAAUGGGAAAUGGGCAUUCAAGGACAUGGCAGUAUGCUAUGCUCUGUACAUCAGGACCUCAUGGAAACCAGAAAGCCCGAGGUCUUGGAAUCCUGAACAGUGUUCCAGGUAGCCAAAGCUGGUCUGCAGAAUGAAGCUGAUGUGCACAAAGAUAUUCUGCCUUCAACGGAGGUGUGAGGAUCAGCUCCGUCUGGGUCAUGCCUGGAGUCCAGCUUCUCUCCUCUCCCAAAAUGACUCCGAUUUGGUGCUCAACCUUGUGAUCACAGAUUGCCAAUAAACGAUUAGCUUGAAAA
This is a non-coding RNA of Homo sapiens (human), 299 nucleotides long. The record is from RefSeq and is a predicted model, not a curated record. NCBI's taxonomy places the organism in Eukaryota, Metazoa, Chordata, Mammalia, Primates, Hominidae.